UACGAAGGGGGCGAGCGUUGUUCGGAAUUACUGGGCGUAAAGCGUGCGCAGGCGGUUUGCUAAGACAGGUGUGAAAUCCCCGGGCUUAACCUGGGAACUGCGCUUGUUACUGGCAAGCUGGAGUGUGGCAGAGGGGGGUGGAAUUCCACGUGUAGCAGUGAAAUGCGUAGAGAUGUGGAGGAACACCGAUGGCGAAGGCAGCCCCCUGGGCUAACACUGACGCUCAUGCACGAAAGCGUGGGGAGCAAACAGG
RNAcentral lists this ribosomal RNA (253 nucleotides) under uncultured bacterium. Its description in RNAcentral is "partial 16S ribosomal RNA". It matches the Rfam family "Bacterial small subunit ribosomal RNA", at positions 524 to 776 of the family's 1533-position model. The record is from RNAcentral.